AACGUCUCAGUUCGGAUUGUAGUCUGCAACUCGACUACAUGAAGCUGGAAUCGCUAGUAAUCGCGAAUCAGAAUGCUGCGGUGAAUGCGUUCCCGGGUCUUGUACACACCGCCCGUCACACCACGGAAGUUGGGGGCGCCCGAAGCCACUUAGCUAACCCUUUUGGGAAGCGAGUGUCGAAGGUGAAAUCAAUAACUGGGGUGAAGUCGUAACAAGGUACC
This 221-nucleotide ribosomal RNA is filed under the name uncultured bacterium. Its description in RNAcentral is "partial 16S ribosomal RNA". It matches the Rfam family "Bacterial small subunit ribosomal RNA", at positions 1282 to 1500 of the family's 1533-position model. The record is from RNAcentral.